UAGAGUUUGAUCCUGGCUCAGAUUGAACGCUGGCGGAAUGCUUUACACAUGCAAGUCGAACGGCAGCGCGGGAGCUUGCUCCUGGUGGCGAGUGGCGAACGGGUGAGUAACAUAUCGGAACGUAUCCAAUAAUGGGGGAUAACUAAUCGAAAGGUUGGCUAAUACCGCAUACGUCCUACGGGAGAAAGCAGGGGACCUUCGGGCCUUGCGUUAAUGGAGCGGCCGAUAUCUGAUUAGCUAGUUGGUGGGGUAAAGGCUCACCAAGGCGACGAUCAGUAGCUGGUCUGAGAGGACGACCAGCCACACUGGAACUGAGACACGGUCCAGACUCCUACGGGAGGCAGCAGUGGGGAAUUUUGGACAAUGGGCGCAAGCCUGAUCCAGCCAUUCCGCGUGAGUGAAGAAGGCCUUCGGGUUGUAAAGCUCUUUCGCAAGGGAAGAAACGAUAGUGACGAAUAAUCACUGUUAAUGACGGUACCUUGAUAAGAAGCACCGGCUAACUACGUGCCAGCAGCCGCGGUAAUACGUAGGGUGCGAGCGUUAAUCGGAAUUACUGGGCGUAAAGCGUGCGCAGGCGGUUCGACAAGUCAGAUGUGAAAUCCCCGGGCUCAACCUGGGAACUGCGUUUGAAACUAUCGAGCUAGAAUAGGUCAGAGGGGGGUAGAAUUCCACGUGUAGCAGUGAAAUGCGUAGAGAUGUGGAGGAAUAUCAAUGGCGAAGGCAGCCCCCUGGGAUCAUAUUGACGCUCAUGCACGAAAGCGUGGGGAGCAAACAGGAUUAGAUACCCUGGUAGUCCACGCCCUAAACGAUGUCAACUAGUUGUUGGUAGAGUAAAAUCUAUGAGUAACGCAGCUAACGCGUGAAGUUGACCGCCUGGGGAGUACGAUCGCAAGAUUAAAACUCAAAGGAAUUGACGG
This 917-nucleotide ribosomal RNA is filed under the name uncultured bacterium. RNAcentral describes it as "bacterial SSU rRNA". It matches the Rfam family "Bacterial small subunit ribosomal RNA", at positions 1 to 916 of the family's 1533-position model. The record is from RNAcentral.